ACUCCCAGCUCCCUCUUCCGAACGGUGUGUGUCGGGAUAAUCCUGCAGACAGGGUAAGAUCGAUAUCCUACCCAGGAGGAAGUCUUGUCCAGAUACCACUCUCUUCCGAAAGCCAAUUCCGCCUCAGGAUGCUGCUACUUUCUGCAUACCUGAGCAUGCCCACAAGAGCUGCAAAAUUUGAAUACUCAUGUUUCGUCAGUAACCAGUGUCAGUCAUGACUAUUUUUUUAUUUUUUUUCUACUGAACACAGUUGGUAAUGAAACCUGUUUCUAGUACCGUGUCAACCGACGACCUGAGUGGAAUUAAGUUCGUUCGGAAAUGUAAAUCCUUGUCUUACUUAGUCAGGCUGCAUGUGCUUUUGCUUGCAGCCGAACUGAGUUUCGAAAUUUUGGUCUGGAUUUCGUUAUGGCGACGAUUACGAGGCCAUGUUGUAUGUACUUUUAGAUUCACUUGAAUCACACGUUCGACUUCACUGAUCUUUGUGUGGGCAUGUACUCGUUCACUAAAGCCAAAAUCCUGUGUGUGAAAUUCAGGCGAACACACAUGAUUGUACCGCGCAUUCAGCCCUGUACACUCCCAACGGAAAUGGAAUUAAACCUCUGUUUGUGUAUACCGACACUUGGUGCUCGUCUGGUCAGUUCGAUGCCAACGGAAAUAUGGUGCAAACGGGCGGAGACGCCGACGGGCUAAUGAAGGUAUCAAUCACUCUCACUCUUCUUCUCAAUCAGUCUCUUUAACCCAAAAGCUAGAGAAAACUACUUAACUGCCCUUCUAGAUGCAAUUCGAGUUUGGUAUUGAAAAUCUCACUCUCUCCGCGGUCAAUACAAUGAAUGAACAACAAUUCCAUGAGUGUUCGAGUUGUGUGAGUAAA
RNAcentral lists this long non-coding RNA (871 nucleotides) under Physcomitrium patens. RNAcentral's name for it is "long non-coding RNA (PPAT_LNC000460)". The record is from RNAcentral. Lineage: Eukaryota; Viridiplantae; Streptophyta; Bryopsida; Funariales; Funariaceae.